GAUAUGGAUGGUGAUGGUCAAUUAAAUAUUACAGAAUUCAAUGACUUUCUGCACCCUGCGGACACCACCAACCCAAAGCUACUACUAUGGUUGUGCAAGGAAGAGAUAAGGGAGAGAGAUAGUGACAAAGAUGGGAAAGUUAACUUCAAUGAGUUUUUCCAU
Long non-coding RNA from Ipomoea triloba (trilobed morning glory), 162 nucleotides. RefSeq lists it as uncharacterized. The transcript has 3 exons. The record is from RefSeq and is a predicted model, not a curated record. Lineage: Eukaryota; Viridiplantae; Streptophyta; Magnoliopsida; Solanales; Convolvulaceae.